This 494-nucleotide ribosomal RNA is filed under the name uncultured bacterium. RNAcentral describes it as "partial 16S ribosomal RNA". It matches the Rfam family "Bacterial small subunit ribosomal RNA", at positions 28 to 504 of the family's 1533-position model. The record is from RNAcentral.
GAUGAACGCUGGCGGCGUGCCUAAUACAUGCAAGUCGAGCGAACGGACGAGAAGCUUGCUUCUCUGAUGUUAGCGGCGGACGGGUGAGUAACACGUGGAUAACCUACCUAUAAGACUGGGAUAACUUCGGGAAACCGGAGCUAAUACCGGAUAAUAUUUUGAACCGCAUGGUUCAAAAGUGAAAGACGGUCUUGCUGUCACUUAUAGAUGGAUCCGCGCUGCAUUAGCUAGUUGGUAAGGUAACGGCUUACCAAGGCAACGAUGCAUAGCCGACCUGAGAGGGUGAUCGGCCACACUGGAACUGAGGCACGGUCCAGACUCCUACGGGAGGCAGCAGUAGGGAAUCUUCCGCAAUGGGCGAAAGCCUGACGGAGCAACGCCGCGUGAGUGAUGAAGGUCUUCGGAUCGUAAAACUCUGUUAUUAGGGAAGAACAUAUGUGUAAGUAACUGUGCACAUCUUGACGGUACCUAAUCAGAAAGCCACGGCUAACUAC